GAUGAACGCUGGCGGCGUGCCUAAUACAUGCAAGUCGAGCGAACAGACGAGGAGCUUGCUCCUCUGACGUUAGCGGCGGACGGGUGAGUAACACGUGGAUAACCUACCUAUAAGACUGGGAUAACUUCGGGAAACCGGAGCUAAUACCGGAUAAUAUAUUGAACCGCAUGGUUCAAUAGUGAAAGACGGUUUUGCUGUCACUUAUAGAUGGAUCCGCGCCGCAUUAGCUAGUUGGUAAGGUAACGGCCUACCAAGGCAACGAUGCGUAGCCGACCUGAGAGGGGGAUCGGCCACACUGGAACUGAGACACGGUCCAGACUCCUACGGGAGGCAGCAGUAGGGAAUCUUCCGCAAUGGGCGAAAGCCUGACGGAGCAACGCCGCGUGAGUGAUGAAGGUCUUCGGAUCGUAAAACUCUGUUAUUAGGGAAGAACAAAUGUGUAAGUAACUAUGCACGUCUUGACGGUACCUAAUCAGAAAGCCACGGCUAACUACGUG
Molecule: ribosomal RNA, 497 nt
Filed under: uncultured bacterium
Lineage: Bacteria
Description: partial 16S ribosomal RNA
Rfam family: Bacterial small subunit ribosomal RNA
Source: RNAcentral